This 5726-nucleotide long non-coding RNA is filed under the name Zea mays. RNAcentral describes it as "long non-coding RNA (ZMAY_LNC005053)". Lineage: Eukaryota; Viridiplantae; Streptophyta; Magnoliopsida; Poales; Poaceae. The record is from RNAcentral.
AUGUACGGUAAAACGUUCACUAGGUGCAGGCGCGCGCGUGAUGUCCGGCGAGCAGUCGAGCGCGCGGCCACAGAGCGGGCAGCAGCGCAUGCUGCAAAUCAGCCACAGAUAGCAAGUGGCUAAGAUUAGGGAAGUUGGCUAAGAUUAGGAAAGAAGCAGUCUAUCAGGCUAGAGAGAAUCAAGGAGACUUGCUCCAUUUGUAAUUGGCCACCGGCCAUAUAUUCAUGUAUGCAGCACGAUUACUAGCAGAAAAGAAUUUAUCCUUCUUCUACCUCUAGCCUCUUAAGCCUGCGGUUAGGGGGGCAUAACCCCGACCGGAGAAGACGGCCGACGGCUACGAGCUACGUAGCCGAGGUCCGGCGAGUCAGGGAUUCCAGGUCCUUGACAGCUUGGUAUCACGAGUCCGGCGAUCUUCGUCCAGCAAUUCCCAGCCCACCGAACCCCCCACCAGCCACACACCACCUCUAUCACCCACCCGUUCCGCUGCCUCCAGCGCCAUGUCUGAGUACACCCUUGCCGACGUAGUGGAGAUGAUGAAGGCGAUGCAGGCCGACAUCUCCGGUCUGAAGGAGAAGUCCGCGUCGUCGUCCUCCGGCGGCGCCAUGCAUGAACGCCCGCGCGACGCCGACCGCCCGCCGAAAUUCCAGAAAUGGGACUUCCCUCGGUUUGAUGGCAAAACCGAUCCUCUCCUCUUCAUCAACAAGUGUGAGUCAUAUUUUCGCCACCAUUGUUCCUCGCCGGAGGAGCAAGUGUGGAUGGCCUCAUACAAUCUCGAGGGCAUCGCGCAACACUGGUACAUUCAGCUGCAAGAAGAUGACGGCACCCCGUCAUGGCGCCGGUUCAAGGAGCAGCUCAACCUGCGCUUCGGGCCGAACAGCCGGUCCGCGCCUUUCUUCGAGCUCACCGAGUGCCGCCGCACCGGCUCGGUCGAAGAGUACUCCAACCGUUUCCAGGAACUCCUACCCCACGCCGGUCCAAUGGAGGAGGCGCAGCGCGUCCAGCUCUACACGGGGGGGUUGUUGCCGCCGCUCAGCCACUCGGUGCGGAUCCUCCACCCCGACACUCUCAGCGCCGCGAUGAGCCUGGCGCGGGAGGUGGAACAGCUGGAGAUCGCUCGCGUCCAGGCGGCGACAAGGCCGGCAGCGCGCGGUCUUCUGCCGGCGCCCCCUCCACGACCAGCCGCUCCGACGCUGCCGGCGCCACCACCUCACUUGGCUCUGCCAGCGCCGCCGGUGGGUGCGGCCCAAGCACGAGGCGAGGGCUCUCGCCGCCUGUCACCCGAGGAGAUGGCGGAUCGUCGUCGGCAAGGCUUAUGUUUCAAUUGCAACGAGAAGUAUUCUCGGGGCCACAAUCGUUUUUGUAGGCGUCUCUUUUUUGUGGAUGGGGUGGAGAUCGAUGACACCGGGGACGACACGGACACAGGCGCGACCGAGCCCAACGCCCCGCUCUUCUCCCUGCAGGCGGUGGCCGGGGUUGCGCCGGCUGACACCAUGCAGAUCGCGGUCACCCUCGGUCCGGCCUCCCUGGUGGCGCUGCUCGACUCGGGCAGUACACACAACUUCAUCUCCGCGACGGCAGCACACCAGUCAGGCCUCCCCAUCCAGCGCCGUCCACGCCUCACGGCCAUGGUGGCCAACGGCGAGCGGAUCUCCUGUGCCGGCGUCCUUCGCAACGCGCCGCUCCUCGUCGAGGGCGCACCAUACCCGGCCGAUCUCUUCGUCAUGCCGUUGGCCGGGUACGACGUCGUCCUCGGAACGCGCUGGCUAGGGGCCCUGGGACCGCUCGUGUGGGACCUCGCCACCCGCCGCAUGACGUUCCAGCGCCCAGGGCGCUCGGUCUCCUGGACGGGCAUCCCACGCGCAGCGCAGCCGGCGGUGCGCACCAUGACAGGGGGGGAUGCGCUAAUGGAGGCUCUCCUGGACUCGUUUGGGGGGCUCUUCGCCGCCCCUUCGGGCUUACCUCCCAAGCGCGCCCACGACCAUCGCAUCCUCCUCAAGCCCGACGCGCCGCCGGUGGCUGUCCGCCCGUACCGCUACCCGGCGGCCCACAAGGACGAGCUGGAGCGUCAGUGCGCCGCGAUGAUCGAGCAAGGGAUCGUGCGCCGCAGCGACUCCCCGUUUUCAUCACCAGUCCUCUUGGUCAAGAAGCCCGAUGGCUCCUGGCGUUUCUGCGUCGACUACAGAGCCCUGAACGCACUCACCAUCAAAGACGCGUUCCCAAUCCCGGUGGUAGAGGAGCUGCUCGACGAGCUCCACGGCGCCAAGUUCUUCACCAAGCUCGACCUUCGGUCCGGCUACCACCAGGUGCGGAUGCGGCCGGAGGAUGUGCACAAGACCGCCUUCCGCACGCACGAUGGACUGUACGAGUUCCUCGUGAUGGCGUUCGGGCUCUGCAACGCCCCCGCUACGUUCCAGGCGCUGAUGAACGACGUGCUCCGACCGUUCCUCCGCCGUUUCGUCCUGGUAUUUUUUGACGACAUUCUAAUUUAUAGCAAGACCUGGGCCGAUCACCUCCGCCAUCUCCGUGCGGUUCUCGACGAGCUGCAGCGACACCAGCUCUUCGUCAAGCGCUCGAAGUGCUCCUUCGGCGCGCCGGCCGUCUCCUACCUCGGCCACAUCAUCUCGGCAGCCGGGGUGGCAAUGGAUCCGGCCAAGGUGGCUGCCAUCCGCGACUGGCCGCCACCUCGCUCGGUCCGGGCAGUUCGCGGCUUCCUCGGCCUCGCCGGGUACUACCGCCGCUUCGUCCACAACUACGGCACCGUGGCUGCCCCGUUGACGGCCCUCCUCAAGAAGGAUGGCUUCGUCUGGGACGACGCGGCUAUGGCAGCGUUCGCGGCACUCAAGGCAGCCGUGUCCUCCGCCCCGGUGCUCGCCAUGCCGGACUUCAGCAAGCCGUUCGUGGUGGAGUGCGACGCGUCCUCCACAGGGUUCGGCGGGGUGCUUGUCCAGGAGGGACACCCGGUCGCGUUCUUCAGCCGGCCAAUCGCCCCCCGGCAUCGCGCCCUCGCCGCCUAUGAGCGCGAACUCAUCGGCUUAGUCCAGGCCGUUCGCCAUUGGCGGCCAUACUUGUGGGGCCGACACUUCACCGUCAAGACUGACCAUUUCAGUCUCAAGUACCUCCUCGACCAGCGGCUGGCCACCAUCCCUCAACACCAUUGGGUGGGGAAGCUCCUGGGCUUCGACUUCGAGGUGGAAUACCGCUCGGGUGCCACGAACACCGUCGCCGACGCCCUGUCCAGAAAGGACACCGAGGAGGGCGCGCUGAUGGCUAUAUCCGCACCCCGCUUCGACUUCAUCGCGCGGCUACGCCAAGCCCAAGCUACGGACCCGGCCCUCGUCGCCAUCUGCGAGGAUCUUCGCGCGGGCACACGUACGACGCCGUGGUCCAUCAUGGGCGGGAUGGUCGCCAUGCAUGGGCGCCUCUACAUCCCGGCGUCGUCCCCUCUUCUGCAGGAAAUAGUGGCUGCCAUCCACGACGAUGGCCACGAAGGCGUCCUCCGCACACUACACCGGCUGAAGCGCGACUUCCAUUUUCCAAACAUGCGUCGUGUUGUGCAGGAUUUCGUCAAGGCGUGCGGCACGUGCCAAAAGUACAAGUCUGAUCACUUGCGGCCGGCCGGUCUUCUACAGCCCUUGCCGAUCCCCUCGGCGGUGUGGGCGGACAUCGGCAUCGAUUUCAUCGAGGCGCUGCCCAGCGCCCAAGGCAAGACGGUCAUCCUCACCGUCGUCGACCGCUUCAGCAAGUACUGCCAUUUCAUCCCGCUGGCGCACCCGUACACGGCGGAAUCGGUGGCGCAGGCGUUCUUCGCCGAAGUGGUGCGGCUGCACGGCGUUCCGCAGUCCAUCGUCUCGGACCGUGACCCCGUGUUCACUUCGGCCUUCUGGACCGAACUGAUGGAGCUCACGGGCACCAAGCUCUUCAUGUCCUCCGCCUUCCACCCCCAGACAGACGGCCAGUCGGAGGCAGCCAACCGCGUCAUCGCCAUGUACCUUCGCUGCUUCACCGGCGACCGCCCUCGACAGUGGCUCAGGUGGCUUCCGUGGGCGGAGUACACCUACAACACUGCCUUCCAGUCAUCACUCCGCGACACGCCAUUCCGGGUGGUGUACGGCCGCGACCCGCCAACCAUCCGGUCCUAUGAGCCGGGCGAUGCGCGCGCUCCCGCGGUGGCGCAAGAGAUGGAGGAGCGCGCUGCCUUCCUCGACGACGUCCGCUACCGUCUCCACCAGGCUCAAGAGUCCCAGCGCCGCGCCUACGAUCAGCACCACAGGAGAGUCAUCUACCAGGUGGGCGACUGGGCCCUUCUUCGCUUACGGCAGCGGCCGUCCGCGACACUGCCGCGCUCGGCAGCGGGCAAGCUCAAGCCGCGCUAUGUCGGGCCCUACCGCGUCAAGGAAGUCAUCAACGACGUGGCCGUCCGCCUACAGCUCCCGGCCGGCGCCAGACUCCACGACGUCUUCCACGUGGGGGUCCUCAGGAAGUUUGUGGGGGCGCCACCAUCCGAACCUCCGGUGCUGCCGGCCACGCUCAACGGCGCCACCGUGUCUGCACCUGCACGUGUCUUGGCUGGCCGCCUAGCUCGCGGCGUUAAACAAGUCCUGGUCCAGUGGCAGGGUGAACCAGCGACGGCAGCAACAUGGGAGGAACUUGAAGACUUCACGGCCAGCUUUCCGCAGUUCCAGCUCGAGGACGAGCUGGUUUUCGAGGCCGGGAGAGAUGUCAUGUACGGUAAAACGUUCACUAGGUGCAGGCGCGCGCGUGAUGUCCGGCGAGCAGUCGAGCGCGCGGCCACAGAGCGGGCAGCAGCGCAUGCUGCAAAUCAGCCACAGAUAGCAAGUGGCUAAGAUUAGGGAAGUUGGCUAAGAUUAGGAAAGAAGCAGUCUAUCAGGCUAGAGAGAAUCAAGGAGACUUGCUCCAUUUGUAAUUGGCCACCGGCCAUAUAUUCAUGUAUGCAGCACGAUUACUAGCAGAAAAGAAUUUAUCCUUCUUCUACCUCUAGCCUCUUAAGCCUGCGGUUAGGGGGGCAUAACCCCGACCGGAGAAGACGGCCGACGGCUACGAGCUACGUAGCCGAGGUCCGGCGAGUCAGGGAUUCCAGGUCCUUGACAUAUCAGUAUUCAGUUGCAAACACAUAUGGUUAGAAAUAAAUAAGACUAUCAGAAGAACGAACACAAGUAUUGUAUAUCAGAACAAUAAAUUGCUGUUGCAACCGUGCUGCUGAAAAAUCAUGGUAGUAAAAUGUGAUACUGUGGCUUUGCUAGCAGGGUUGGCCGGAAUGGUGAAAAUAGCAAUAGAAAUUAGCAGGUUAAGCAGUUGAGAGGCUCACGGAAGAUAGAGGAAUUCUACACAUUUUUUGCUUAUUUUUACCGGAAAGUGGAGAGAUUAUACACGGCAAGGAAACAUAUGUGGGUUGUAGUUUCACUUAAAAUAGCCAUGAUGUAAUUUUUAGUUCUUUUGUCUAUCAGAUAUCUAGAGUGGUUCUGCUUAUUCAAUAGCAGCGCAUAGUACCUUUAAAUAAUGUUGUUCAUUUUUUAGUAAAAAGGAUGGGGAAGUUGAGAUUAAUGAUGUCUGAUUUGCACAUCCUUCGCGCACUUCUUAUAUGAUAGUACUAUGCAUAUGACAUGUCUAUUUACCAAAUUUGACAUUUUCGUUAUAUAUCUCUACUACUUAUUAAGGCUGCAAGGGUAGUCUGCCUCCUUUUGGUUCUGCCUUUCGAUAAUCUCUAC